AGGUAGGGUAGCCGAGUACCAGGCGGUGGGUUGUAGCCCCGAAGACAGAGGUGUAAGUCCUCUUCCUAUCA
Molecule: transfer RNA, 71 nt
Filed under: Microphysogobio amurensis (Amur longnose gudgeon)
Lineage: Eukaryota; Metazoa; Chordata; Actinopteri; Cypriniformes; Gobionidae
Description: tRNA-Tyr
Rfam family: tRNA
About the family: Transfer RNA (tRNA) molecules are approximately 80 nucleotides in length. Their secondary structure includes four short double-helical elements and three loops (D, anti-codon, and T loops).
Source: RNAcentral